UGAGACUAUAAGGAGUACCAGUACUGAGUCAAUGUGCAGGGUACCAGGUAGUUGAGGUAAUAAUGAGGCUAUAAGGAGUACCAGUACUGAGUCAAUGUGCAGGGUACCAGGUAGUUGAGGUAAUAAUGAGGACUAUAAGGAGUACCAGUACUGAGUCAAUGUGCAGGGUACCAGGUAGUUGAGGUAAUAAUGAGGCUAUAAGGAGUACCAGUACUGAGUCAAUGUGCAGGGUACCAGGUAGUUGAGGUAAUAAUGAGACUAUAAGGAGUACCAGUACUGAGUCAAUGUGCAGGGUACCAGGUAGCUGAGGUAAUAAUGAGACUAUAAGGAGUACCAGUACUGAGUCAAUGUGCAGGGUACCAGGUAGUUGAGGUAAUAAUGAGACUAUAAGGAGUACCAGUACUGAGUCAAUGUGCAGGGUACCAGGUAGUUGAGGUAAUAAUGAGGCUAUAAGGAGUACCAGUACUGAGUCAAUGUGCAGGGUACCAGGUAGUUGAGGUAAUAAUGAGGCUAUAAGGAGUACCAGUACUGAGUCAAUGUGCAGGGUACCAGGUAGUUGAGGUAAUAAUGAGACUAUAAGGAGUACCAGUACUGAGUCAAUGUGCAGGGUACCAGGUAGUUGAGGUAAUAAUGAGACUAUAAGGAGUACCAGUACUGAGUCAAUGUGCAGGGUACCAGGUAGUUGACGUAAUAUGCACAUGUAGGUAAGUAUAAAAGUGACUAGACAAUCAGGAUAGAGAUUACAUCUCCUCAUCCGAGGAGUACAUACACAUCCGCACGAACACACACACACACACAGACGGAAUGUGGAGUUUGUUUAAUAUUGUUUUAGGAAUAUGAAAAUGGACAAAAUGAUUAGCCUACAGAUUAUGAAAACAGCAACAAUAAAUGGGAAAGUGGGAGAGGAGAAAUGACUAGAGACAGUGUUGUUUAACUCACUGACCAGGACCCAUGAGUUCUUCUUACCUUUGUUCAGUAGAAAAGUCUCCCUCUCUAAAGUAUAGAGGAGGAUCCAUAGACCGGUCACUCUUCAUGGACACACAGCUGGGAACAGGGAGGCUGGUCUCUCCUGCCUGAUUGGACUUCAACACAACAGAGACAAACAUUACAUCUCUCAUCUCCUCUGAGCUCAGAUGGGGAAACAGAAGAAGAGUUUCACAAAUUUCAUAAAUGGUUAUUUUAUGGUUGUAAGUGGUGAAAUGAACUAGAAAAUGUUAUAUAAUUACUACUUUAGUAAGGAAUUACACAUUAUUCAGUACUACUGCAGUUGCUACAUAAUUCCAAUAGAUGGCAGCAGAAGACCACUAAUGACAUUUCAGAAGAUUAGUUUAGUUUUCUCCCU
Molecule: long non-coding RNA, 1342 nt
Organism: Oncorhynchus tshawytscha (Chinook salmon)
Lineage: Eukaryota; Metazoa; Chordata; Actinopteri; Salmoniformes; Salmonidae
Source: Ensembl